UUAUCUUGUCCAGGUCGCAGUUGUAAAUGAGAAAUUGUUCUCAACUGGCCUACCUGGUUAAAUAAAGGUGAAAUAGUGGCAGGGGAGUCUGGGCCUCCCUCCGGUAUGCUGUCUGCCUAUGUGGAGCGGACACGGUCAGUGAGAACAACAGACCAGCUCUUUGUCUCACUGGAUUGUGGACACGAUUACGACAGCAUACUGCCUGACCGGCAGGCCAGUGCUGGGAUCUGUGGUGGCACAUUCAACACAAGGUGUGGCUGUGUCCUGGGCUCUACUGAGAGGAGUGCCUGUCCACAAUGUAGAAAACAGGUUAGGAUCAGACACAUCAACAGGUUGUUCUUUGACAUUCAUGGUGAAGAAGAGGGAUCCUCUGCUGACCCAGAGAGUUUGCAGAAUGAGCUCAAUGGAAUGAAAGCUGUUUUAAGUACCAAAGAGACUCGAUGGACAGACUGAAGAUAGUAGAGGGCUUGAAGGAGGCUGUGAACAGGCAGAAGAAAGACCUGGACAUUGUGAGGAAGGAGAUUGAAGAGAACGAGAUGCUCAGCUCACAGGGAUGAAAUACCUGGAGAACCAGCAAUGUGAGACCCAGGCUGCCAAGGAGGAGGCCCGAUGACUCCGGACCAAAAUGAAAACACAUGAGAGUCUGGAUGUGGUGUUGCAGGGUCAGAGAACUGAGGAAUCCAUGAUCACUGACAUGGGUGUUGGCCAGGCUGCAUGUGGAGCAGCUUUCCAUCUACUGCAUUUCUCUCAAGAAAGAGUAUGACAAGCUAAAAGGGAGCCUCAGAUCUUCAAACUAAAUGUGUGAAAAGCUCAAAAGGGAGGUGUUUGUUUCAAACAUCAAGGUAAUGCAUGUAAACAAAACGCAUGAAUUGACAUUUUUCUGGGAUAAUGUCGGUUGUGUCUCUACUUCCGACUAACCGUCUCUCAUAUCUCUGUAGUUGCAUAAAGCCACAAUGGAGUUGAACAUGACCAAGGAUGACAUGAAAGCUGUCCAAAAUGACUUGACCAACGCAGACAGAGAUUACCGUUAGAAGCCCCUCUUCUUGAAAUUAUAAGCACUAUAUAAUUUGCAAAGCUUUGUUUCAUUUGUAUAAUAAAAAUACAAAUUUGGUUUACUACUCACUACUUUGUCUUUUUAAUAUUAUGUUAGUCAGAAGAAAAAAAGUUAUAAUUGUUCAAAAGACCCUGAGCACACUAACCCACACUAACGAAGCUUUGAGCCGACUAGUCUUCGAGAGGUUUGUCACUUCACCAAUCGAUUCUCUACACAACUCGUUACUUAGGAUACAGUGCAUUCGGAAAGUAUUCAGACCGCUUGACUUUUUACAAAAAAAAGAUGUUACAGC
This is an RNA transcript of Oncorhynchus tshawytscha (Chinook salmon), 1346 nucleotides long. It is a transcript of the gene named E3 ubiquitin-protein ligase TRAIP-like, with no coding region annotated. NCBI's taxonomy places the organism in Eukaryota, Metazoa, Chordata, Actinopteri, Salmoniformes, Salmonidae. The transcript is spliced from 7 exons. The record is from RefSeq and is a predicted model, not a curated record.